Molecule: ribosomal RNA, 437 nt
Filed under: uncultured Clostridium sp.
Lineage: Bacteria; Bacillati; Bacillota; Clostridia; Eubacteriales; Clostridiaceae
Description: partial 16S ribosomal RNA
Rfam family: Bacterial small subunit ribosomal RNA
Source: RNAcentral
ACGGGAGGCAGCAGUGGGGGAUAUUGCGCAAUGGGGGAAACCCUGACGCAGCAACGCCGCGUGAAGGAUGAAGGCCUUCGGGUUGUAAACUUUUGUCGCAAGGGAAGAAAAAAAUGACGGUACCUUGUGAGAAAGCCACGGCUAACUACGUGCCAGCAGCCGCGGUAAUACGUAGGUGGCGAGCGUUGUCCGGAUUUACUGGGUGUAAAGGGCGCGUAGGCGGGUAAUCAAGUCAGAUGUGAAAUACCGAGGCUCAACUUCGGAGCUGCAUUUGAAACUGAUUAUCUUGAGUAUCGGAGAGGAAAGCGGAAUUCCUAGUGUAGCGGUGAAAUGCGUAGAUAUUAGGAGGAACACCAGUGGCGAAGGCGGCUUUCUGGACGACAACUGACGCUGAGGCGCGAAAGUGUGGGGAGCAAACAGGAUUAGAUACCCUGGUA